This 373-nucleotide unclassified non-coding RNA is filed under the name soil metagenome. RNAcentral describes it as "partial contains internal transcribed spacer 2 and large subunit ribosomal RNA". The stretch from base 1 to 120 matches the Rfam family "5.8S ribosomal RNA", at positions 35 to 154 of the family's 154-position model. The record is from RNAcentral.
GAUGAAGAACGUAGCGAAAUGCGAUAAUUAAUGUGAAUUGCAGAAUUCCGUGAAUCAUCGAGUCUUUGAACGCACAUUGCGCCUCAUGGCAUUCCGUGAGGCAUGCCCAUCUCAGCGUUAGAAAAUAUUCUCAAAUUUUAGUUUUGUGCUAAAAUUUGGAUCAUGUCAAAGAAGCUAUUACUAUUAUUGUGAUCGCUCUUUGGAAAUUGAUAGGUCUUUGAGUUGCUACUCAUAGAACGUGAUGAAUCUUUCUUCGUUCUAUUGUAAUUCACUCUGGUAGUCCUAAAACUUGUAUGCCUGUGGCAUAUCUUGUAAUUUGACCUGAGAUUGGGUAGGGAUACCCGCUGAACUUAAGCAUAUCAUAAGCGGAGGA